UCAGAUGGAGAAGAAUAUUUAAACUCUUAUUUAUAGGAAAUCGAAACCAUAGCCGACAGAGGAACGACCAGAGAAGAAGAAGGGCGGCCGAGGAAAGAACCAAUAGAGCCACCUUCGAUGCCAAAACAAAUAUUUUUUUUCCUUCCCGCUCAGAAUUCAAUCACGAAUCUCACUAUGCCCAUAUCGAAGCUAAAGGAUUGACGAGUGAGCCGAAAACCAUGGGUGAAGCUCGGUCGAGCUGCUGCAACCAAAACCCAGAAUCCUCUUCGAUGACCCCCUUAUUGUUUUUCGUUUUGCGUGAUUUUUUUACAAUUGUAUUCUUCGUCCUUCUCUUGUGCAAGUUAGUCGAAGGAGAACCUGGGCCACGAAGGAGGAACGAUGGAGCCGCCGUACCUGGAGACCUUCUGCUAGUAG
RNAcentral lists this long non-coding RNA (414 nucleotides) under Carica papaya (papaya). RNAcentral describes it as "long non-coding RNA (CPAP_LNC007646)". The record is from RNAcentral. Lineage: Eukaryota; Viridiplantae; Streptophyta; Magnoliopsida; Brassicales; Caricaceae.